RNAcentral lists this unclassified non-coding RNA (250 nucleotides) under plant metagenome. RNAcentral describes it as "partial contains small subunit ribosomal RNA, internal transcribed spacer 1, and 5.8S ribosomal RNA". The stretch from base 185 to 250 matches the Rfam family "5.8S ribosomal RNA", at positions 1 to 55 of the family's 154-position model. The record is from RNAcentral.
GUAGGUGAACCUGCGGAAGGAUCAUUACAGAGUUCAUGCCCUUACGGGUAGAUCUCCCACCCUUUGAGUACUAUACUUUUGUUGCUUUGGCAGGCCGCUUCGGCUACCGGCUUCGGCUGGUUAGUGCCCACCAGAGGACCACAACUCUGUAAUAAAUGUCGUCUGAGUACUAUAAAAUAGUUAAAACUUUCAACAACGGAUCUCUUGGUUCUGGCAUCGAUGAAGAACGCAGCAUCUGACUGACUACGUG